Molecule: unclassified non-coding RNA, 3261 nt
Filed under: Octopus sinensis (East Asian common octopus)
Lineage: Eukaryota; Metazoa; Mollusca; Cephalopoda; Octopoda; Octopodidae
Description: glutathione hydrolase 1 proenzyme-like, transcript variant X1
Source: RNAcentral
AGAAGAUCAUUAGACUUGCAUUGCAUUGCAUUCUAGUUGUUUUAUGACCUCCAAAGGCAACUGAAGAACUAGCACAUCAACAACAGCAACAACAACAACAACAACAGCAAGUGUCUUUAAGAACUCCAAAUAACCCCUACAUCACUGGAGGCAUAUUGUUCCUAUCAGCAUGCAUUGUACCAAAAGAGGAAAGUUGGCUGUACUCUCCAUUGGUGUGUUGGUUGCUAUGAUCCUCGUCUGUUACUUCUACUUGAUCCAAAAGAGCAGAUUCCGCUUUGCCGUAUCUGGUUCCAAAUUGUUAGAAUACAACCAGGCAGCAAUCACAAGCGAUUCAUCUAUGUGUUCCCAACUUGGCAUGUCAAUUCUGAGGGAGAAGAACGGAAGUACAAUUGAUUCUGUCAUUGUCACUUUGGUUUGUAUGGCACUUGACCAACCGAUGUCCACAGGAAUUGGAGGCAGUUUAAUUAUGAAUAUCUAUGACAGUAAAUCUCAAAAGAAUGUCAUCAUAGAUGCCUCUGGUAAAUCACCACAUCAUGUGGCCAGCCUGAAGAAUAUGUCUCACCUGAAAGGUCCUUCAUCAGUGACUGUUCCUGGGCAACUGUACGGUCUAUGGCAGGCACAUCAGAUGUAUGGCUCGUUACCAUGGAAACACUUGUUUGCUCCUGUGAUACACCUUGCAACACAAGGUUUUAAUGUCUCGCGUUUACUGGCUAAUACCCUCAAAGAAAUGGAGUCUGAAGUUAAGGAUCAGCCCCUACUCAGAGAGCUGUAUGUAAAUGAGGCAACAAGACAUGUUUAUCAAGAAGGAGACCUCAUGAAACACCCAAGACUAGCAAAAUCACUGAAGAUAAUCUCUGAGGAAGGAUUUCUUGCUGUCUAUAAUGGCUCCUUGUCUAAUGCCAUUGUUGAAGAUCUGAGAGAUGCUGGUGAAGGAUCUCUUAUGUCCUUGAGUGACCUCACCUCUUAUAAUGUAAAGUUUCCAGCCCCAUUAAGGACAAGACUGUCCAACGGUGACCAAGUGAUGGCAACCCCACCUCCAUCGAGUGGCCCAAUAGUGCAACUGAUACUCAAUGUUCUUGACCUGUAUGAGUUCAAGCCCAACUACCGCACCAACCUCAACAUGUUCGCCACUACGCUACACAGGAUCAUCGAAACAUUCAAGUUUGCGUACGGCAUCCGAUCCCGACUGGAGGAGCCCGGCUUUGAUGAAGACGUCACACAGUUCCUUGUCAAUUUAACAUCAACAGAGUGGGCCACCGGGAUUAAAUCACAGAUCGAUGACCAUAGCACAUAUGAGAGUGGAUAUUAUAACCCUGGCACCCUCAAUGAGGAAGGUUUAGGGACCACCCAUCUGAAUUGCAUCGGCUUGGAUGGUAUUGCUGUAUCAGUGACUAGCUCACUCAACCAUAGGUUUGGUGCCCAGAUUUUGGGACGAAGGACUGGAAUCUUGUUUAACAAUGGAAUGGCAGCGUUCUCAACACCAAGCAGACACAAUCGCAGUGCCUCAAUAAACCAACCUCUCCCUAAUUUGAUCGGGGCCAACAAGUCUCCUAUGUCCUAUGUGUCACCAAUUAUUAUGACAGACAACACAGGCAACACCAAACUGGUUAUUGGAGCCUCUGGAGGAACUAAAAUUAUUUCUUCUCUCUCCUAUGUGAUGAACAAUCUAGUGUGGUUCAAUGACACUAUCAAAGAAGCCAUUGAUGCCCUCAGAGUUCACAACCAGAUCAUUCCAGCACAGACUAAUACUGAAGACUACUUACCAAAGAAAGUGAUUGAGAAACUGAAGAAAUUUGGUCAUGAUAUCACUAGUUAUGGAUCUCUUUCAUUUGUCCAUGGAAUAUACCAGAAAAAUGGCACCUUUUCCGUUAACAUUGAUUAUAGAAGUGGAGCAAUUCCAGCAGGGUUUUAAAAGAGGCAAUGCUUCUAAAGAGUAAGGGCAAAGAAAUGAAAUUGAACCUACUUUCAAACAUAAUCUAUGACCCUUCUAAACAAAAUCCUACACCUCACACACACACACACACAUUUCCGCUCUUAAUAUUUACCCCAUAAGAUAUAUCACCCAUCCCCAAAAAUCUUAUCACUCAAUCCCACAAAUAUUUGUCUUCUACCCUCAUAAAAUAUACUCCACACCCAAUAAAAAUAUAUUCCUCAUCCCUACAAAAUCUAUCCUACCCAUCACAAAAUAUACCUCACCCACUGCAUCAAAAACAAGGAAUACAACAAUUUAAAAGUUUCAAAAUGGACUUGUCCAAAAGGUAGAGAAAAUUUUAUGGAUAGAAUAGUAGAUCAACAGAUUUUGUAAUUUGCUGGACAAAAAAUAGUUGCAAUUCAUUAGGUUUUGAUUUCAAAUCCUGCUGAGGUCAAAUUUAGUUUGUUUUUUUUUUUGUUUCUGGGAUCAAUAAUCAAAAAAAGUACCAAUCAAAAACUGGAGUUGAUAUCAUUGAUUUUUGCCCCUCACUAAUUUAUGGCUUUGUGUCAUUGUUAGAAACCUAUAUUUUAGAAUGGACCAGUCCAUCAUCACUUGUAAUUAGGGACAUUAAUUAAAGUUGUUAAACUACAUCUAGUCAAUUACAGUAAACUUCUCAACAAAAAUUGAGGUCCUGUGAACUGCGAAUCAGUAGAGCAACGAAUUAAAUGCCUUGUGGUAUUUAAUUACAUCUUUUAAUGUUUUGAGUUCAAAUCCUAUUGCAGUCAACUUUUCCUUUCGCCCUUCCAGGGUUAAUGAAAUAAAGUAGGAAUCAAGUACUGGGGUUGAUAUAAUUCAUGGUAUCCCUUCCAGAAAAUUGUAGAAAUCCCUACUGGAGGGUGGAGUGACAGAUAUGGUACCUGUUACAUCCAUUAACAGCCAUGUCACAGCAUCACUUGCUGUUUUGUUACACCCUGUGACACACAUGUCAGAGUCAGACAUCAAAUACCAUGUGGCAUUUUCAUCUCAUCCUGAUCCAUUAUGCCUUUCAUCUCUUUGAGAUUACUAAUAAAUCCAGUUAAAUCCUGAGGGUUAUUAGAAUCAACUAUAUCCCAAUCUUGGCCUUGUGAUUGUGUUGAAAACUAUUAUUAUCAUCACUCUGAGUUCAAAUGCUGUUGAGGUCAGCUUGACCUUAUAUUCUUUCAGGGUCAAUAAAUAAGUACUAAUGGAGCACUGGGAUAAGUGUAAUUGUCAACCUCUCAAAAUCGCUGACCAUGGGCCAAAAUUUCAAAGAAUUAUUAUCAUUUUUACUAUUAUUAUUAUUAUUAUUAUUAUUAUUAUCAUUAUUAUUA